Molecule: long non-coding RNA, 373 nt
Organism: Tupaia belangeri chinensis (Chinese tree shrew)
Lineage: Eukaryota; Metazoa; Chordata; Mammalia; Scandentia; Tupaiidae
Exons: 3
Source: RefSeq, a predicted model, not a curated record
CAGAAUCCGAUUUUUAAGAUUGUAUGGCCACCAUCCAGUCCUUCUUCUGUGUUGCCAACGAUUUCAAGGGCCAAGGACACGUGUGUGAACGGCACCGGCAUUUCAGCCGUCGGCAAGAGGGGCCAAUGCUGGAGACAGUUCUCUGAGCGAAACCACCCCACGCCAUCUGCACGGAAGACAACAGGACAGAGACUGCCGAGCCCGGGAGGUGACGCGGCCCCACGGACUUUCUAUGGAGCAGAGCCACCUGGUGGUUGGUGGCUGUGCUGUUAGAUUUUCAUUUCCUUUCUCUCCUGGAAAAAUGCAGUCCAGGAUGAAGAGGGUCCAGCAGUUAGCGUAAUGGCUAUGUCGCUGGACUCCCACGUAGGUGACC